GGUCUCCGGUUAGUGAAACAUGCAGAUGUUCAGUAUGGAGAACUUACCUAAAAACAGAGAAGAAAAUAGAUAUCAGUAUACACAGAUGAAGUAGAAAAUGGAACUAUUCCAAAGCAGAUAUUACAUGAAAAAUCUUAGUAAUGUGGAUCCUUCGAAAUUAUCGAUCCGAUAGAGAACAAGUUUUCGUGAGCCAGUGUAUACCACGUUACUUAGAAUAUAUUUAUUGAAAACGUACGAAACAAACGCAAUGAGAAAAAGAGCCAUGUCGUACAAUUACGACAGUUUAAGAUUCGUAAGAAUUAUUAACCGUGGAAUUGGAAAUUUUUUCGAAAUAGAACUGCUACAGUUUCUUCAUUUUGUCUUAAAGUAAUUUAUACAAUUAAUACACAUUUUGUAUAUUAAAAAAUUG
This 409-nucleotide unclassified non-coding RNA is filed under the name Bombus terrestris (buff-tailed bumblebee). RNAcentral describes it as "misc RNA ENSBTSG00005028088.1". Lineage: Eukaryota; Metazoa; Arthropoda; Insecta; Hymenoptera; Apidae. The record is from RNAcentral.